UCUCAUUCAUCUAAGUUCAAAAAAAUUCAGAUACGUUUUUUUAUUAAAGAAAAAACAUAGAGGAACUACAAGCCAUUCCUUCAACAAAUUCCCAUACCAUAUUUAAGUUAAGAGAAAAGUAGAAUGCAAGAUAGUUUCCCCAUAAAAAUGAGAACUGAGGAAGUGUAUGAACAGAAUCACAAAGUAUAUAUGUCUAUAUCAACAAGAUUUAUAAGUGUAAUUAAGAUGAUGGUCAAGACAGGCUCCACCUUGUACCCCCAGAACUUCCAAAACCAACCAGAAACAUCUCUAAACUCCCCUCAUGGGACCCUACACAACCCCAUCUUCACACACACUAAAGCUCUUGGUUGAUGGAAGGAGAUAGAAACUCCAAAUACUUCUAUCAAAAAUAGUAUCAUACAGCUCAAUCUAUUUAGUAAAAUAGUAUUUUACCUCGAUGUACUUCUUGGCAUUAUCCCAAGC
This 462-nucleotide long non-coding RNA is filed under the name Lathyrus oleraceus (garden pea). RNAcentral describes it as "Pisum sativum (pea) long non-coding RNA (PSAT_LNC032266)". The record is from RNAcentral. Lineage: Eukaryota; Viridiplantae; Streptophyta; Magnoliopsida; Fabales; Fabaceae.